Hemicordylus capensis (graceful crag lizard) is the source of this 867-nucleotide long non-coding RNA. RefSeq lists it as uncharacterized. The transcript has 4 exons. NCBI's taxonomy places the organism in Eukaryota, Metazoa, Chordata, Lepidosauria, Squamata, Cordylidae. The record is from RefSeq and is a predicted model, not a curated record.
ACUGCUUUUCAGACAUAAUGCUGGCACUGCGGAACUGGAGCUAAAGGCGGCAAAACUCACUAGAAACGAGUUCAGGGAGGGAAACCUCGAGUCCAUUUUGGAGGAAAGUGCAGUUGCCCAUAUUUGGAUGUACAACUUCUGAAACCAGAGGUCCCCUCACCGGUAUCGUGUUACAUGCGAAUGUGGCCAUUGGGUUGUGGCCUCCCACUGUACUCUUUGUUUCCCAGAUGGAUGCUAUUCUCCAGAUGCCCGAGUCAGAUCUUUGUGAGGACAGAUUGUUGAACUGGAUGGAAUAAAGCAAAGAGAUCUCGUUUCCGCUUUACAAAGUACUGUUUCUGAAAGCAUCUCUUUCAACAGGCCUGCAAAUGCUUAAUAUCUGAUGUCCAAGUACCAAGGUCACAGGACUAUGAGCUUCUUGAUGAGAACUCUGGAAUGUGUGAAGUCAUCCUAAUGGGAAAAUGUUUCUGAGAAAGAACAGAAUGAUCAUUAAGAAUGGGUUUUACCAAUGUGUAUGUACAGUUUGAACAUCUGGGGCUGGGGGAAGGGGCGUAACUACCAUUAGGCAAGGAGAGGCGGCUGCCUGGGGCCCCCCACGCCUCGAGGGCCCCCCCAGAGGCAAGUCACAUGAGGCAAGUCACAUGACUAUAUAUUGUGAAGUGUGUGUGUGCAUCAGCGAGGGGCCAAUUUUAAAAUUUUGUCUCUGGGCCCACUCCAGCCUUGUUACGCCCCUGGCUGGGGGCAGUUGCUCUUAUUCAGACCAGCCUGGUAGAUAAACUCAAAUGAGCCCUCCAACCAGUGUUCCCUCUAACAGGGAUUCCCAGAUGUUGUUGACUACAACUCCAAGAAUCCCUGGCUGCAAUGGCUUUU